GAUGAAGAACGUAGCGAAAUGCGAUAAGUAAUGUGAAUUGCAGAAUUCCGUGAAUCAUCGAAUCUUUGAACGCACAUUGCGCCCUCUGGUAUUCCGGGGGGCAUGCCUGUCCGAGCGUCAUUUGCAACCCUCAAGCCCGGCUUGUGUGAUGGGUGCCGUCCCCUACGGGACGCGCCCCGAAGGCAAUGGCGGCGUCGCGGUUAUCCGAUCAGCCAAAGUGUAUGGGGCUUUGUCACUCACUUUACGGCCCGGACCGGCGCCAGUCCGAAUCAAUCUUUUUUCUAAAGUUGACCUCGGAUCAGGUAGGGAUACCCGCUGAACUUAAGCAUAUCAACGGAGGA
RNAcentral lists this unclassified non-coding RNA (341 nucleotides) under soil metagenome. RNAcentral describes it as "partial contains 5.8S ribosomal RNA, internal transcribed spacer 2, and large subunit ribosomal RNA". The stretch from base 1 to 120 matches the Rfam family "5.8S ribosomal RNA", at positions 35 to 154 of the family's 154-position model. The record is from RNAcentral.